UUUAUUGAGAGUUUGAUCCUGGCUCAGGAUGAACGCUGGCGGCGUGCUUAACACAUGCAAGUCGAACGGGGUGCUCAUGACGGAGGAUUCGUCCAACGGAUUGAGUUACCUAGUGGCGGACGGGUGAGUAACGCGUGAGGAACCUGCCUUGGAGAGGGGGAUAACACUCCGAAAGGAGUGCUAAUACCGCAUGAUGCAGUUGGGUCGCAUGGCUCUGACUGCCAAAGAUUUAUCGCUCUGAGAUGGCCUCGCGUCUGAUUAGCUAGUAGGUGGGGUAACGGCCCACCUAGGCGACGAUCAGUAGCCGGACUGAGAGGUUGACCGGCCACAUUGGGACUGAGACACGGCCCAGACUCCUACGGGAGGCAGCAGUGGGGAAUAUUGGGCAAUGGGCGCAAGCCUGACCCAGCAACGCCGCGUGAAGGAAGAAGGCUUUCGGGUUGUAAACUUCUUUUGUCAGGGACGAAACAAAUGA
This 475-nucleotide ribosomal RNA is filed under the name Odoribacter splanchnicus. RNAcentral describes it as "bacterial SSU rRNA". It matches the Rfam family "Bacterial small subunit ribosomal RNA", at positions 1 to 457 of the family's 1533-position model. Lineage: Bacteria; Pseudomonadati; Bacteroidota; Bacteroidia; Bacteroidales; Odoribacteraceae. The record is from RNAcentral.